Molecule: unclassified non-coding RNA, 328 nt
Filed under: uncultured fungus
Lineage: Eukaryota; Fungi
Description: partial contains 5.8S ribosomal RNA and internal transcribed spacer 2
Rfam family: 5.8S ribosomal RNA (bases 1-133)
Source: RNAcentral
UGGUUCUGGCAUCGAUGAAGAACGCAGCGAAAUGCGAUAAGUAAUGUGAAUUGCAGAAUUCAGUGAAUCAUCGAAUCUUUGAACGCACAUUGCGCCCACUAGUAUUCUGGUGGGCAUGCCUGUUCGAGCGUCAUUAAGUCCACUCAAGCCUAGUUGCUUGGAAUUGGGAGAAUAGGUUUUACCCUAUCUCCUCAAAGACAGCGGCGGAGUCGUGUCAUCCUCUGAGCUUAGUAAUUACUUUUCUAGCUUGUGAGCGAGGCGUGCCCCUUGCCGUAAAACACCCAUCUUUCUUAUGGUUGACCUCGGAUCAGGUAGGAAUACCCGCUGA